AUACGGAGGGUCCAAGCGUUAUCUGGAAUCAUUGGGUUUAAAGGGUCCGUAGGCGGAUAAUUAAGUCAGAGGUGAAAUCCCACAGCUCAACUGUGGAACUGCCUUUGAUACUGGUUAUCUUGAAUUAUAGUGAAGUAGAUAGAAUAUGUAGUGUAGCGGUGAAAUGCAUAGAUAUUACAUAGAAUACCGAUUGCGAAGGCAGUCUACUAACUAUAUAUUGACGCUGAUGGACGAAAGCGUGGGGAGCGAACAGGAUUAGAAACCCUAGUAGUCC
RNAcentral lists this ribosomal RNA (274 nucleotides) under uncultured bacterium. RNAcentral's name for it is "partial 16S ribosomal RNA". It matches the Rfam family "Bacterial small subunit ribosomal RNA", at positions 523 to 796 of the family's 1533-position model. The record is from RNAcentral.